RNAcentral lists this ribosomal RNA (58 nucleotides) under Festuca ovina. RNAcentral's name for it is "partial 26S ribosomal RNA". It matches the Rfam family "Eukaryotic large subunit ribosomal RNA", at positions 1 to 57 of the family's 3401-position model. The record is from RNAcentral. Lineage: Eukaryota; Viridiplantae; Streptophyta; Magnoliopsida; Poales; Poaceae.
GCGACCCCAGGUCAGGCGGGACUACCCGCUGAAUUUAAGCAUAUCAAUAAGCGGAGGA